This 446-nucleotide ribosomal RNA is filed under the name uncultured bacterium. RNAcentral describes it as "partial 16S ribosomal RNA". It matches the Rfam family "Bacterial small subunit ribosomal RNA", at positions 338 to 795 of the family's 1533-position model. The record is from RNAcentral.
CCUACGGGUGGCUGCAGUCGAGAAUCAUUCACAAUGGGGGAAACCCUGAUGGUGCGACGCCGCGUGGGGGAAUGAAGGUCUUCGGAUUGUAAACCCCUUUCAUGUGGGAGCAAAUUAAAAAGAUAGUACCACAAGAGGAAGAGACGGCUAACUCUGUGCCAGCAUCCGCGGUAAUACAGAGGUCUCAAGCGUUGUUCGGAAUCACUGGGCGUAAGGCGUGCGUAGGCUGUUUCGUAAGUCGUGUGUGAAUGGCGCGGGCUCAACCCGCGGACGGCACAUGAUACUGCGAGACUAGAGUAAUGGAGGGGGAACCGGAAUUCUCGGUGUAGCAGUGAAAUGCGUAGAUAUCGAGAGGAACACUCGUGGCGAAGGCGAGUUCCUGGACAUUAACUGACGCUGAGGCACGAAGGCCAGGGGAGCGAAAGGGAUUAGAUACCCUUGUAGUC